AUGAAAAAUGAUAUACAUUCAAAAACUGGAGAAACUGUAUAAAUAUCAGAUAGAAUAGAUUUCAAGCCAAAGGAUAUUACCAGAGAUAAAGAGGGCUAUUUUACAAUGGUAGAAGGGCCAAUCCAUCAGGAAGUAAAAACAUAAGUAUGUAUGCAACUAAUAACAGUGCUUCAAACACAUGAAGCACACAUUGACAGAAUUAAAGGGAGACAUAGAAAAUACCAUAAUCAGAGAUGGAGAUUUCAUCAGUAAGGGUGGAGUUGUCUGAUUGCACAUCUGGGACAAACGGGUUUGGAAGGUCAUCCUCUAGUCCAGGGCCUGGCUGUGGGUUGUGGUGAGAAACUUCAAGGAAGGGAGUUAAGCAGCAGUUCAGCAACAAAGCCUGGACAGGUUCUUUGAGGAUGGAAUACUAAUGGUUCCAGGUGAUUUUUAUGGAGACCCUAUAGCUCAGGCCCCAGUUGAGGUGGGGAGGGAGUGGUUGAAGGUAUUGAAGCUCGUUCUGAAGAUAGUAGUAAUAAUGCCCGUGUGGCGAUGGUCAUUCUGUUCCAGAACAGGAUGCCAAGCAGUGGAGCAGAAAGCAGCAGCAGAAAGCCAAAACAAUCCUCACUGAUUUCAUUAUUAGCUGCUCAGAAUUCCUUUAUAAUAUACCUGAUGAUGUGGGCUCAGGUGUCAAAGAUUACAGCAAGAGCUAACCUUAUCCUUAAAUGUUACCAGGACUGAUGGGGUCUGGAGAAGCAAGAGGUCGCCCACUAGUUCUCCAGCUGAGUGUGCAUCAGAAUCUCCCGAUGGGCUUGUUAAAACAGAUUGCUGGGACCCAUGCCCAGAGUUUCUGAUUCAGCAGGUAUGAGGUGGGGUCUGCUGCUGCUGCUGUUGGUCUGGAGAUAUUCUUGGAGGACCACUAAGGUGAACAAAUGCCAAGGGGGCCCAGAAGAGGAAACAGGCCUUUGGCACAAUGAGUCAGUGUGGAAGGUCAUAGAUGGAGGCCAGGGUGAAGGGCCUUCCAGGUAGAGGAGAGUCUAGCAGAUGGUGCACUUCUGGGGCUGAACUGGAAUGUCCAUAUGAGGAGCAAAGCGGAAAAGCCUGGUAAGAUGGACCUAACUUAGCAGUGAAGAGCACAGUUUCAGAAAUCAGAUAUGCGAGUUUGAAUCCUGAUUCUGCUACUUAUUUUUUGCAUGACCUAAAGGAGGUUACCUAAUCUUUUGGGCCUUGUUUCCGCAAUCUGCAAAGUGGGGCUAAUGCUAAUGUCUACUCUCAGGAUUGUUAGUGAGGGAGUGCAUGUAAAUGCCUGACAUAGAGUCAGAGCUCGGUCAAUUAAUGCUAGGUUGUUGCUGCAUACAGGCUUGAGGAUUUGUACCAUGUGUGGGCUGAUGUUGACUGAAUCAGGCCUGGGCCGAAGCUAUGGCAAACUAGUCAGUAUUUUGUGAAACCCUUCCUGAAGGCACUGGUCUUUUGGCUCAAAGAGUUCCAGUCCUCCUGCUCAAGUCUGGUCACUUUCCUCAAAGUCAGGUUGUCCCCCACCACCAGCCCUGCUCUGUCCUUCCUGAGACCCUUGGCUACCAGGAGGGGUCUCGGAGGCAGCUCCACUGGGGGCCCAGGCAGAGGAGCUACAAGCCACCUAGCCUCUGAAUUUAUUCUCCUGGCUUUGAGUUAUCAGCUGGCAUCCAACAGAGCAAAUGGCAGCAGCUUUUGGAUUUCUUUUUUUAAAGUAAGAAGCGAAGGGAUUUAGUCCAUCUGCAUUAAGGAAAGGGAAUUCAUUCCUCCCCCCACCCCACCCUGUGUUCUGAGAUAAAAUGGUUCAUUUCCAUGAAAAUUGAAACUCAGAGAAGAAUCCUUGUUGCAGUGCCUCUUGGACUGUGAGCUAAGGGGGGUGGAGUGAUGUGGACAGGAUAGAGAACCGUGCCUUUCGCCAUCUUCUGUGGGCACUACAGAGGCCCCCGGUGCAUGGGCACUGGCUCCUAAGUGGCCCUUGUAUUGUUCUGAGCCUCUGUGCUGGUGGCUGUACAGGAAUAUAGGUGCUGGCUUAGAUUAGAAUGUUUCCAUAACCCUUUGGAAAUUGUAUUCAGCCUCCUGUUCCCCAUCUUCUGUGGGAACCAGCCUAUUACCUGGGCCACUAUCCCUCACCCCCAACCCCAUAUCAUUCAAGCUUGCUUUUCUGCUUCUGACCUAGCCACCACUUAGGCCUUUGCAUGCCUUGUGGCCACGUCCUUUCAGGGCCUUCCCGUGGAGAAUGGACAGGGACAGAGUGGGCAGGCACUGAUCCCAGCAACUAGAAUUUCCCAUGGCAGUCUCCUCACCCUGGGACUUGUCCACAACCAAUUCUCACCCCUCAGUAAGGGUGCCUGGCCCCCAGCACCAUCUCAGUUAAUCGCCAUCCCCACCCCCCUGCUUUCUGUCUUUGUGGUUUAAAUGGAGCUCAGGAUAAAGCCAAGCCUGGUCAUCUCGGGGAAGCAUUGUUCGUGGUUGGAAAUCAUGAGUAAAUUUUGAAAAAUAGUCAAAGAAAAUCCUGCUUAGGAAAGCAAGUUUCCCAGCAGGGGGAAAAAAAAGCCAACUGGCAAAGUCCAACAGGAAUAAUCAGAAAUAGUCUUUGGAUUAUUCACCUUUGGUAUCAUCCACCCCCUCCCCAUCCUUCCCUGAAGCAUGGGUAACCAAGAGAUACCCACAUUAAGGUGAUUGUCUAGGAAGAAUCAACUUGGACAUGAAGCCAAAUUCCUGAGCAGUUUCCCCUGCAAUCCAGAUUCCCUCACACUGCCUUCUCCAACUCCUUCUUCAUCCAAAUGCAGUUCACAUUAUGCAUCUGCUACCUGGGGGCUGUUGGCCCUGGCAGAUGUUUGCGGCAGAACCCUGGGACUGAUCCAAGGGUUAGACCUUCUGGGCCCUGCGUGGGGAGGUACAGCUUAAAGGUGUAGGUGGAUUUAUCUCAUCGGCCAAGUAUUGCCUGAGUGAGUGUCUGCGAGCACAAAAGGACAGUGAACUCCUCUCACUUAGCCUUGCAAAUCAGUCCCCCAACUUUCCCAGCCCAUGUGGGGGUAUUUUUCUCCCCUAGGACUCAGUAGAGAAUAAAUGAGGCAGCAGCUCAGGUGGGAGGUGGGGGACCUGGUUCUGAACUGGCUGAGUCAUCCCUCUGCUCUUCCCCCUUCUCCCCACCCUCUACCAUAGCUUUUGUUCAGCUCCAUCUUCCCUUGCCCCAGGGGACCAGCCUCCCUGCCUCCACUCUCCAUAGAGAAGCCUUCUUCAAAAGCAAAUCUGAGCAUGCGAAUGGCCUGGGACUUCCAAGGUACAACCAGGUACGGAGCUCUGUGGAGGCCUGGAAGGGAGAUGGUAAGGGAUGGCUCAGUCUGGGUUAGGCCCCUUUCUUAGUCUAGUGGGGCCAGGGGACUUUCUGUUUGCAAGUGUGAGUUGGUCCCUGCUGGUCCUGCUUCGGGAGACUCUUCUCCCUCAGAGAAUGUUACCACCAGGGGCAACACCUAGGCCCCGUGCUUCUUUGACCACCCUGGGGGAGGACAGUGCUCCUUUCUGAACCCCUCCAGUGCCCACUCUGCUCCACGGGACAUGGUCCCACAAGGAUGCCUGUGGAAUGACUCCGGGGCAUCUGGAAUGCAGCAGGGUCCGGGCAGCUUUGGCAGGGGGUGAAGGUAGAUCAUGUUUCUCUCACAAGUCCUCCAACUCCUUGGGACCCAGGAGUGGCAGGGCCUCUGAGAGUUGACAGGCUUAUUUUUAGUUUGGAUUCUAGCUCACCAGCCCAAUUGUUUUUCAGUUUUGCCUAAUUUGGGCCAGGUCUCGAUGGUGUCUCCUAGGACCCUGGUUUGGGCCGUUGAAGGUCUGCAGGACACGAGCUGUCAGGGCAGAGAAGUCCCGCCAGCUUCCCGUCCCUGGGCAUUGGCAGAAUACAGCCUACGCAGCCACCCUGGGGCCAGGACCAGCCGCUCCAGUUGGAGGAGGAAGGAACCUGGGGCCUCCCAGCACUGAGCCUUUGGUGAUUUGGGGUGGGAGGGGUGUAGACUUAACAUCCUGUUUAAAUUUGGCACUCUGUCGCAUUUUUAACAGGGGUUACGACCCGCCCUCCUCCCUUUCCCAGGCCUAUCCUUACAUAUUCCUCUAAUCAAUUUUUCACUUUUGGCUCUAAUUCUGCUCUUCACCUUGGAGCUUUGGGCCCAACUGAGGGAGGAACAGAGUGAUCAGUGUGAUGUCUUGAACGCUGCCUCUGAACAGAGCUGACCAUGGAGAGAGGCUGCCGGGAAGCCCAGCAUCAGCCGGGGGGACAGAAGAUAGGCAAGAGGAGAGGAGCGUCGAGAAGGGCGAUAAAGAGGAGAGGAGAGGAUGAGGAAACUGAGGCUUUAAACAUUACCUGACGUGUUCAUCGUCCUAGAACCAGUAAAAGGCAGAACCAGGAUUUCAGCUUUGGUUGUUUGGUCUUCAAAGCCCACAAUCCUUCCAUCGUCCCAUGCUCCACAUGACACAAAUGUCAUAUGGCUGGAACUGCUGUAUCCAUGGAAAGAAAGUUUGGGCCAUGACUCAGGAGCAUCUUGGGAGCAUUCUUAAAGCCAAGGAGGGUUAUCCCAGAAGCUGCUGGCUGAUUAGCUGUUUUCUAGCACCCGACGCUAGCUCAUUCCCAUGCUUUGGCUCGUGCUGUUUCCUUCCUGCUUUAAAAAUGUUGUGUGUUUAGGGGCGCCCGGAUGGCUCAGUCAGUUAAGCAUCCAACUUCGGCUCAGGUUAUGAUCUCACGGUUCAUGAGUUUGAGCCCCCCCGCAUUGGUCUCGCUGCUGUCAGAGUCAGCUUUGGAUCCUCGGUCCCCUUCUGUCUGUCCCUCCCCUGCUCACACACUCUCUCUCAAAAAUAAAUAAAACAUUUAAAACAU
Long non-coding RNA from Felis catus (domestic cat), 4855 nucleotides. RefSeq lists it as uncharacterized. The transcript is spliced from 2 exons. Lineage: Eukaryota; Metazoa; Chordata; Mammalia; Carnivora; Felidae. The record is from RefSeq and is a predicted model, not a curated record.